Molecule: ribosomal RNA, 250 nt
Filed under: uncultured bacterium
Lineage: Bacteria
Description: partial 16S ribosomal RNA
Rfam family: Bacterial small subunit ribosomal RNA
Source: RNAcentral
UAAGGAAUAUUGGUCAAUGGAGGAAACUCUGAACCAGCCAUCCCGCGUGCAGGAAGAAUGCCCUAUGGGUUGUAAACUGCUUUUAUCUGGGAAGAAAAGCCGGCAUUUAUGUUGGUCUGACGGUACCAGAGGAAUAAGCACCGGCUAACUCCGUGCCAGCAGCCGCGGUAAUACGGAGGGUGCAAGCGUUAUCCGGAAUUACUGGGUUUAAAGGGUGCGUAGGUGGCGCUGUAAGUCAGUGGUGAAAGGU